RNAcentral lists this long non-coding RNA (1330 nucleotides) under Homo sapiens (human). Its description in RNAcentral is "ARHGAP11B divergent transcript, transcript variant 5 (ARHGAP11B-DT)". The record is from RNAcentral. Lineage: Eukaryota; Metazoa; Chordata; Mammalia; Primates; Hominidae.
CUCUUACGAAGAAACCGUUCUACGGAAGCCCAGUUGAGACAACUUGAGACAGGAUUCAGAAACGCUGAUUUUAGUAACCUUAACCCUCGGCCUUUGGUGGGAACUUCGGCUCUGUGGGAAUUAGUCUUUGGGGGACUGAUGGUGAUGCUGAAAUCUUAUUGCGUAGGAAAUUAAGUACAACAAAGAAGACCCGUCGUGAGAGGAGAGUGCGGAAGAAAUGCGAAGUCUACGGGAGGUGGCAGCUGCAGAAGCUUGGUGUUGGAUUUGGAGUUAGGAGACCGGGAGGAGCCCAGCUUCCGGUCCAGACGGUUAUCUUGUUGACUUGCACGACUGCAAACGCCCUGAGCUGCUUUUGCAGUCUGAAACAUCAGCGAUCCCAUCAAAAUAUUCUGUUUCUUGGGAUAUAAGAAACAUCCCAAGGCGGGCUGUAGAGCGAGAGAUUUGGACUCGAUUUAAAUACAGACAAAAUAGUAUGCAUUUACUAACACCACAUCUCACCCCCACGAAACUUGGUAAGGGCAGCAACAGAACUUUAUCUGCCAUAUGCACUCCUGUAUUCCUAUUACCAAAUAGUGCCAGGGACUAAGUGAAUAUUUGCCCAAUGAAUGAGUUUUAAGUAGGAAACGUUUGCAUAGAAUCAUUUUGUUUCUUUUGGAGUUCAAAUCUUCGGAUAUUUUACCCUUCCCAAUCCAAAGAAAAGUCUCUGAGUGAAGAGAUGGGAACAAAAUCCAAGCCCAGCACAACAAUGGCACACAGCAGUUGCUGCCCAAGCCUGGGUGCUCCUGGUGGUCCUGCACGAUCGGCUGUGCAGUAGGCUUGUCAAGGAGAGGAUCCUCCCUGGCCUCUCCUUGGGCAGAGGAGGUGGUCCAUAAAGCUGCUCUGGAGCCAAAAUAUUGCAGUCACAUCUCGGCAGCGACCUGCCCUCAGGUGGCAUUUUCAAGUCAUGGAGAAGGUGGAGAUGUUCAGCACACUCAUCUCUUUCUAAUUGGACUUGUUGAAAUGACUCCUUCAACUGCAAGAAUGGGCACAGAACUUAGGAAGGGCUGUCACUGGUCCUCACCUGCUCCUGGCCACCUGGGGUCAUCUUCCUUCCACAUAACUCCCUCAGAAAACCUCACCUGUGUCAGCUGCACUUUCAGUAGUGCCUCCUCCCGCAUGGACUGCUCUAACUUCCACUCCGUACGUGCUUUGCUGCGGCUGGACAACUGGAUGGUGAAGAGUGAGAAGUUUCAAUCUGGAGAGCCUGGGCAUUUCCACACAGUGCCCCUUAAAAGGACUAGGGCUAGGCCCAAUAUACAACUCAGUCAGUAAAGAUCAAGGCAUUUCCAAG